GGGGAAUCUUCCGCAAUGGGCGAAAGCCUGACGGAGCAACGCCGCGUGAGUGAAGACGGCCUUCGGGUUGUAAAGCUCUGUUAUACGGGACGAAUAAUCUUGUGGUUAAUACCCAUGAGAAGUGACGGUACCGUAAGAGAAAGCCACGGCUAACUACGUGCCAGCAGCCGCGGUAAUACGUAGGUGGCAAGCGUUGUCCGGAAUUAUUGGGCGUAAAGCGCGCGCAGGCGGAUUGGUCAGUCUGUCUUAAAAGUUCGGGGCUUAACCCCGUGAUGGGAUGGAAACUGCCAAUCUAGAGUAUCGGAGAGGAAAGUGGAAUUCCUAGUGUAGCGGUGAAAUGCGUAGAUAUUAGGAAGAACACCAGUGGCGAAGGCGACUUUCUGGACGAAAACUGACGCUGAGGCGCGAAAGCCAGGGGAGCGAACGGGAUUAGAUACCCCGGUAGUCCUGGCCGUAAACGAUGGGUACUAGGUGUAGGAGGUAUCGACCCCUUCUGUGCCGGAGUUAACGCAAUAAGUACCCCGCCUGGGGAGUACGACCGCAAGGUUG
Molecule: ribosomal RNA, 549 nt
Filed under: uncultured bacterium
Lineage: Bacteria
Description: bacterial SSU rRNA
Rfam family: Bacterial small subunit ribosomal RNA
Source: RNAcentral